Long non-coding RNA from Neltuma alba, 411 nucleotides. RefSeq lists it as uncharacterized. The record is from RefSeq and is a predicted model, not a curated record. NCBI's taxonomy places the organism in Eukaryota, Viridiplantae, Streptophyta, Magnoliopsida, Fabales, Fabaceae. The transcript has 2 exons.
GAUUCCCUCUUCCCUCCUCCUAUAAAUAUAUCAUCCCUCCCUCUUCUCUGUUUCUCUCUGUGUUUCAAACAUGAUCAACUCUGGAAUGCUUGCCUUCCCUUUUCUCACUUUGUUCCCCUUCUCAUUCUCCCACCUCGCUCAUGCCCUCCAUCUUUCUCCUUCUCCCGCUCCUCCUCCUACCAGCGACGGCACUACCAUUGAUCAAGGAGUAGCUUACCUUCUCAUGCUGGUCGCUCUGGCUAUCACCUACUUGUUUCAUUGAUUUCAUUUUUCCUUUCUUUUUUCCCCUUUGUAUUUUCUCUCCCAUGUAAACUACCGAUGACAUUAUUUAUGAUUCUUUCUUGAUCAGAGAUGCUCAAUCCUGCUUUGCUUUUCAGUAUGAAUGAUAUUCCUGUCCCUACCUUGAAUCUC